CAAUUCCUCUGACAAGAACAGAAUUGCGGCUGCAAUGGGGCUUCCACUUCUUGGGCUUUUUAGCCUUGAGGCUACCCUUUUUCACUUUGCUACCAGCAUCAGCCUUCUUGGCUUCAGGUUUCUUCUCUUUAGUAUCCGGCUUCUCAACUUUUUCACCUGCCUUCUUGCAAGAUGGGAAUGAGCCGAAACUCCUAUAGCCACAUUUGAGCCACAGGGAAUUUCUCAGAGUGGCUUUCAGGCCCAAUUCCGCUGAGGCGACGGGCACAGAGGGAGACAGGAUCUGGCGAGAGUUAACAUGGAAGCUGGGGUUGGCCUUUCAGAAGCAGUGGGGAACCAGGAUUCAAGGGGGAAAGCGUGAAUGCAGUCCCCCACUACCACAAACAUUGGGGAAAUCGCAGGGGUCAGCACAUCCGGAAUGCAAUAGAUAACCUCGCUCUGGGAAAACUACCUUUGUGAUCAUGGUAUCUCCUCUGCCAGAAAGAGUCUCACUAUGUUGCCCAGGUUGGACUCAAACCCCUGGGCUCAAAGGAUCCACCCAUAUCAGCCUCCCAAGCAGCUGGGACUUCAGGUGUGAGCCACUGUCUCCAGCUACUACCACUUGUUUUUUAAAGAAAAGAGCUUCCUCAGUACUCUCAUAUGGAUUAUAAUUAUUAAUAAACUCAUAAAUUCAGACAAUUUGGUUUUCAAAUAUCUGAUUAAAUAAAGGGAGUAUACUGUUACAAUUCCUGAAUGUUAGAA
Molecule: long non-coding RNA, 738 nt
Filed under: Callithrix jacchus (white-tufted-ear marmoset)
Lineage: Eukaryota; Metazoa; Chordata; Mammalia; Primates; Cebidae
Description: lncRNA (ENSCJAG00000087202.1)
Source: RNAcentral